This 378-nucleotide unclassified non-coding RNA is filed under the name plant metagenome. Its description in RNAcentral is "partial contains 5.8S ribosomal RNA, internal transcribed spacer 2, and large subunit ribosomal RNA". The stretch from base 1 to 105 matches the Rfam family "5.8S ribosomal RNA", at positions 50 to 154 of the family's 154-position model. The record is from RNAcentral.
GAAAUGCGAUAAGUAAUGUGAAUUGCAGAAUUCAGUGAAUCAUCGAAUCUUUGAACGCACCUUGCGCUCCUUGGUAUUCCUUGGAGCAUGCCUGGUUGAGUAUCAUGAAAUCUUCAAAGUAAAUCUUUUGUUAACUCAAUUGGUUUCUACUUUGGUAUUGGAGGUCUUUGCAGCUUCACACCUGCUCCUCUUUGUUCAUUAGCUGGAUCUCAGUGUUAUGCUUGGUUCCACUCGGCGUGAUAAGUUAUCUAUCGCUGAGGACACUGUAAAAGGUGGCCAAGGUAAAUGCAGAUGAACCGCUUCUAAUAGUCCAUUGACUUGGACAAUACUUUUAUGAUCUGAUCUCAAAUCAGGUAUGACUACCCGCUGAACUUAAGC